Molecule: ribosomal RNA, 451 nt
Filed under: uncultured bacterium
Lineage: Bacteria
Description: SSU rRNA
Rfam family: Bacterial small subunit ribosomal RNA
Source: RNAcentral
AGAGCGAACGCUGGCGGCAUGCUUAACACAUGCAAGUCGCACGGGCAGGGGCAACCCUGUCAGUGGCGGACGGGUGAGUAACGCGUAGGUAUCUAUCCUUGGGUGGGGGACAACUGUGGGAAACUACAGCUAAUACCGCAUGAUAACUGAGGUUUAAAGGCGCAAGUCGCCUGGGGAGGAGCCUGCGUACGAUUAGCUUGUUGGUGGGGUAAAGGCCUACCAAGGCGACGAUCGUUAGCUGGUCUGAGAGGAUGAUCAGCCACAUUGGGACUGAGACACGGCCCAAACUCCUACGGGAGGCAGCAGUGGGGAAUAUUGGACAAUGGGCGCAAGCCUGAUCCAGCAAUGCCGCGUGUGUGAAGAAGGUCUUCGGAUUGUAAAGCACUUUCGACGGGACGAUGAUGACGGUACCCGUAGAAGAAGCCCCGGCUAACUUCGUGCCAGCAGCCGC